Molecule: ribosomal RNA, 1407 nt
Filed under: Bacillus cereus
Lineage: Bacteria; Bacillati; Bacillota; Bacilli; Caryophanales; Bacillaceae
Description: bacterial SSU rRNA
Rfam family: Bacterial small subunit ribosomal RNA
Source: RNAcentral
GCUUGCUCUUAUGAAGUUAGCGGCGGACGGGUGAGUAACACGUGGGUAACCUGCCCAUAAGACUGGGAUAACUCCGGGAAACCGGGGCUAAUACCGGAUAACAUUUUGAACCGCAUGGUUCGAAAUUGAAAGGCGGCUUCGGCUGUCACUUAUGGAUGGACCCGCGUCGCAUUAGCUAGUUGGUGAGGUAACGGCUCACCAAGGCAACGAUGCGUAGCCGACCUGAGAGGGUGAUCGGCCACACUGGGACUGAGACACGGCCCAGACUCCUACGGGAGGCAGCAGUAGGGAAUCUUCCGCAAUGGACGAAAGUCUGACGGAGCAACGCCGCGUGAGUGAUGAAGGCUUUCGGGUCGUAAAACUCUGUUGUUAGGGAAGAACAAGUGCUAGUUGAAUAAGCUGGCACCUUGACGGUACCUAACCAGAAAGCCACGGCUAACUACGUGCCAGCAGCCGCGGUAAUACGUAGGUGGCAAGCGUUAUCCGGAAUUAUUGGGCGUAAAGCGCGCGCAGGUGGUUUCUUAAGUCUGAUGUGAAAGCCCACGGCUCAACCGUGGAGGGUCAUUGGAAACUGGGAGACUUGAGUGCAGAAGAGGAAAGUGGAAUUCCAUGUGUAGCGGUGAAAUGCGUAGAGAUAUGGAGGAACACCAGUGGCGAAGGCGACUUUCUGGUCUGUAACUGACACUGAGGCGCGAAAGCGUGGGGAGCAAACAGGAUUAGAUACCCUGGUAGUCCACGCCGUAAACGAUGAGUGCUAAGUGUUAGAGGGUUUCCGCCCUUUAGUGCUGAAGUUAACGCAUUAAGCACUCCGCCUGGGGAGUACCGCCGCAAGCUGAAACUCAAAGGAAUUGACGGGGGCCCGCACAAGCGGUGGAGCAUGUGGGUUAAUUCGAAGCAACGCGAAGAACCUUACCGGUUCUGGCAUCCUCUGACACCCUAGAGAUUAGGGCUUCUCCUUUGGGAGCAGAGUGACAGGUGGUGCAUGGUUGUCGUCAGCUCGUGUUGUGAGAUGUUUGGGUAAGUCCCGCAACGAGCGCCACCCCUGAUUUUUGUUGCCCUCAUUUAGUUGGGCACUUUAAGGUGGACUCCGGUGGCAAACCCGAAGAAAGUUGGGAUGACGGCAAAUCAUCCUGCCCCUUAUGACCUGGGGUACACACGUGGUUCAAUUGACCGGACAAAAAACUGCAAGGCCCCCAAGUGGAGGUAAUUUUAAAAAACCGGUUUCAGUUUCGAUUGUUUGCUGCAAAUUGCCUACCAGAAGCCUGAAUCGGUUGGAAUUGCGGAUCAGCAUUCCCCGGUGAAUACGUUCCCCGGCCUUGGACACAACGGCCGGCACAACACGAGAGGUUGGAACACCCGAAAUCCGUUGGGGAACCUUUUUGGAGCCAGCCGCCUAAGGUGGGACAG